Molecule: long non-coding RNA, 1688 nt
Filed under: Pan paniscus (pygmy chimpanzee)
Lineage: Eukaryota; Metazoa; Chordata; Mammalia; Primates; Hominidae
Description: lncRNA (ENSPPAG00000044282.1)
Source: RNAcentral
GAAAAUGCUUCAUGCCUCCGUGUCUUAAAGCUUUCAUUCUUUACCAGGAAACAGGCUCAGAGAGAAGAAGGGAAUUAUGUACCUCGGUUUAGAGCCAAAGUGUCCUGCCUGCAUUCCAGCUGUUUCCAUCCAUGUCCCUGUCAACUGGCAUCUGGAACUACUCGUAGCAGCAUCCACUCAAUAUACCAGCCUGGAAGACAACGGAGCUGUCAUUCUGUUAAAAAAUUAAGAGAAGUACGCAGAACCUGCCUUUUUCUAAAUGAGAAGCUUUGGAAGCGACUGGACACUUUUGGCCAUUGCAGUCCACAGAAGGUUACCUGGAGACUUUGGCAAGAGCCACAGCAGUUCCUAAAAGGAAAAGAAACCUCAAAGGAGAAUGUUAAUCUCCCCGAUCAGCUCCAGCUCUCCCUGGAAACAUCCUUUUCUAUGUAACAGCCUAAAUCAUCCCAAAGAGAACAUUCUCCAACAUUAGCGUACCUAACAAUCAACACGGAGAUUUCCAGGACCUGUUCCAGAAACACGGACUCAGUAGGUUUAGGGUGGAAGUUUGGAAUCUGCCUUUUAACCAACUCCCUGCUAUGGACUGACUUGUUUCACCCCAAAAUUCAUAUAUUGAAGCCCUCACCCCUAAUGUGAUGGCAUUUGAAGAUGGGGCCUUUGGGAGGUCAUUAUGUUUAGAUGAGGUCGUGAGGAAGGGAGCCCCAUGAUGGAUGGGAUUAAUGCCCUCAUAAGAAGACAUGCCAGAGAGCUCUCUCUACUCUCAAGUACCCAGGAAAGGCCAUAACAAGACACAGCCAGAAGACAGCUAUCUGCAAGCCAGGAAGCGCCCUCACCAAACAGACAUGGACCCUGCUAGCACCUUGCUCUUGGGCAUUCAGCCUCCAGAAUUGGGAGACGAUCAAUUCCUUCUGUGAAGGUAUUUUAUUAAGGCAGUCAAAGCUGACUGAGAUACUCCCCUGAUCACUGUGAUGUCCAGUGCCGAGGGCCUAUGCUUUGAAAAUCAAUAUUCUAGUCUUAGGCCAAAACUCUCCUCCCUGCUUCCCCAGCCACUCCUUGAGCUUUCUUCUUCCUCAUGGCCCUCUCGGCCUUCUGGACAGGCUUCUUCCUGGGUACAAGUCACAUGAAUGUCACUGACCUGUGACUUUGUCUUUGUUUCCUGAGUGCAUCACACAGUACAUGGCCUAUGGCAGGCAUUCAGAAAGUAUUGAUUUCAUGAAUGAAUAGGUGAAUGAAUGAGUGAGCAAAUGAAUGAAUUUAUAUCACAUAGAAUAAUUAACUUCCCUUUUAGUAUCUCCCUAAUCCUUCCAACUCUAACUUGAGGACGCUAUGACUUGCUUUCAAGAUCAUUUUCCAGGCCUGGUGCGGUGGCUCAUGCCUGUAAUCCCAGCACUUUGGGAGGCUGAGGCAGGUGGAUCACCCGAAGACAGGAGUUCAAGACCAGCCUUGCCAACAUGGUGAAACCCUGUCUCUACUAAAAAUACAAAAAUUUGGCAGGCUUGGUGGCUGGCGCCUGUAAUCCCAGCUACUUGGGAGGCUGAGGCAGGAGAAUUGCUUGGACCCAGGAGGCGGAGGUUGCAGUGAGCUGAGAUCACACCACUGCACUCCAGCCUGGGCAACAAGAGCAAAACUCUGUCUGAAAAUAAAUAAAUAAUAGGAUUAUUUUGCAUCCAUUCUAUUAUUUUGUGGGA